GGUAGCGCUCGACGGCGCUGGGGUGGCAGCGUCGCGGCGACGGUGGCGCAGCGACGCACGAAGCUCUGCGGAUGCGGGAAGAAGGCAUCGAGGGGGGACUUGAAGACCAAACUGGACUAAGACGAAAUGGUACUGCUAUUCAUGCUCUGAGAUAGGAGCUACAACUGAAGAAUGCCCAAAUGGAUGUAAUUAGGGAAAGAAAUUGAGAGUGCACAACAGAUGUGAGAUUGGUAUCCAGGUUUAGUGGCAAGAUUCAUGUCAACGAAGCUCUAGCAAUGUAAUGUUAGUUUGUUAUCCAGGUUUAGUUCUGGCAAUGUAAUAUGUGGAAUCUGCAACUGAAUAAAGCCAGCAUUUUAUAUGAA
Lolium rigidum is the source of this 362-nucleotide long non-coding RNA. RefSeq lists it as uncharacterized. The transcript has 2 exons. The record is from RefSeq and is a predicted model, not a curated record. Lineage: Eukaryota; Viridiplantae; Streptophyta; Magnoliopsida; Poales; Poaceae.